Molecule: unclassified non-coding RNA, 504 nt
Filed under: Hevea brasiliensis (rubber tree)
Lineage: Eukaryota; Viridiplantae; Streptophyta; Magnoliopsida; Malpighiales; Euphorbiaceae
Source: RNAcentral
UGUUUGUGAUAAACCCUUGAACUUGUGAGUUCCUUCAUCUGCUAUCAGUGCUAAUUUUAGCUGGUACAUUUUGGAGAUCACAGAUUUAGCCAACUAAUUUUGUGUUCAAUUUUUUCUUUUUGUUCUUAUGAUACGGAACAAGCAUUUACUGUAAAUAAUAUUAAAUCUAUGGACGAAUUGAUAUAAAUAUAUAAACAAUGUAAUAACUCCUAGUCAGUCAUAUGAAUUUCAUAGUUCACUCAAUGCUCAGCAUUGAUUUUGGUAGGAAUGUUUUUCAGAAAUUAUAGACUCAGCCGACUUAUUUUCUGUUCAGCUUUUCUUUGUAUUCUUGAAGCACAGAAGUAGCAUGCAGAAAUAUGUACUGUGAACUAUAGAAAACUUAAUGAUAUAUACUUUUAGGCAACUACAAAAGUCGUACUUGUCUAAUGGACAAUGGACAUGGUUUAAUAGUCUGCAGGAAGUUACAGCUAUUAUCUUCAAACCGCAAAUCAAGUUGCAGCAUAG